This 311-nucleotide ribosomal RNA is filed under the name uncultured Maribacter sp. RNAcentral's name for it is "bacterial SSU rRNA". It matches the Rfam family "Bacterial small subunit ribosomal RNA", at positions 28 to 334 of the family's 1533-position model. Lineage: Bacteria; Pseudomonadati; Bacteroidota; Flavobacteriia; Flavobacteriales; Flavobacteriaceae. The record is from RNAcentral.
GAUGAACGCUAGCGGCAGGCCUAACACAUGCAAGUCGAGGGGUAACAUGGUAGCUUGCUACCGAUGACGACCGGCGCACGGGUGCGCACCGCGUAUGGAACCUGCCUUUUACAGGGGAAUAGCCUUUGGAAACGAAGAUUAAUGCCCCAUAGUACCGUUUUGCAGCAUUGCUUUACGGUUAAAGCCUUCGGGCGGUAGAAGAUGGCCAUGCGUCCCAUUAGCUAGUUGGUAAGGUAACGGCUUACCAAGGCUACGAUGGGUAGGGGCCCUGAGAGGGGGAUCCCCCACACUGGUACUGAGACACGGACCAG